This 1452-nucleotide ribosomal RNA is filed under the name uncultured organism. Its description in RNAcentral is "SSU rRNA". It matches the Rfam family "Bacterial small subunit ribosomal RNA". The record is from RNAcentral.
UGAACGCUAGCUACAGGCUUAACACAUGCAAGUCGAGGGGCAUCAGGAAGAAAGCUUGCUUUCUUUGCUGGCGACCGGCGCACGGGUGAGUAACACGUAUCCAACCUGCCCUUUACUCGGGGAUAGCCUUUCGAAAGAAAGAUUAAUACCCGAUAGUAUAAUGAUUCCGCAUGGUUUCAUUAUUAAAGGAUUCCGGUAAAGGAUGGGGAUGCGUUCCAUUAGGUUGUUGGUGAGGUAACGGCUCACCAAGCCUUCGAUGGAUAGGGGUUCUGAGAGGAAGGUCCCCCACAUUGGAACUGAGACACGGUCCAAACUCCUACGGGAGGCAGCAGUGAGGAGUAUUGGUCAAUGGGCGCUAGCCUGAACCAGCCAAGUAGCGUGAAGGAUGAAGGCUCUAUGGGUCGUAAACUUCUUUUAUAUAAGAAUAAAGUGCAGUAUGUAUACUGUUUUGUAUGUAUUAUAUGAAUAAGGAUCGGCUAACUCCGUGCCAGCAGCCGCGGUAAUACGGAGGAUCCGAGCGUUAUCCGGAUUUAUUGGGUUUAAAGGGAGCGUAGGUGGACUGGUAAGUCAGUUGUGAAAGUUUGCGGCUCAACCGUAAAAUUGCAGUUGAUACUGUCAGUCUUGGGUACAGUAGAGGUGGGUGGAAUUCGUGGUGUAGCGGUGAAAUGCUUAGAUAUCACGAAGAACUCCGAUUGCGAAGGCAGCUCACUGGACUGCAACUGACACUGAUGCUCGAAAGUGUGGGUAUCAAACAGGAUUAGAUACCCUGGUAGUCCACACAGUAAACGAUGAAUACUCGCUGUUUGCGAUAUACAGUAAGCGGCCAAGCGAAAGCAUUAAGUAUUCCACCUGGGGAGUACGCCGGCAACGGUGAAACUCAAAGGAAUUGACGGGGGCCCGCACAAGCGGAGGAACAUGUGGUUUAAUUCGAUGAUACGCGAGGAACCUUACCCGGGCUUAAAUUGCAGUGGAAUGAUGUGGAAACAUGUCAGUGAGCAAUCACCGCUGUGAAGGUGCUGCAUGGUUGUCGUCAGCUCGUGCCGUGAGGUGUCGGCUUAAGUGCCAUAACGAGCGCAACCCUUAUCUUUAGUUACUAACAGGUUAUGCUGAGGACUCUAGAGAGACUGCCGUCGUAAGAUGUGAGGAAGGUGGGGAUGACGUCAAAUCAGCACGGCCCUUACGUCCGGGGCUACACACGUGUUACAAUGGGGGGUACAGAAGGCAGCUAGCGGGUGACCGUAUGCUAAUCCCAAAAGCCUCUCUCAGUUCGGAUCGAAGUCUGCAACCCGACUUCGUGAAGCUGGAUUCGCUAGUAAUCGCGCAUCAGCCACGGCGCGGUGAAUACGUUCCCGGGCCUUGUACACACCGCCCGUCAAGCCAUGGGAGCCGGGGGUACCUGAAGUACGUAACCGCAAGGAUCGUCCUAGGGUAAAACUGGUGACUGGGGCUAAG